UACGAAGGGGGCUAGCGUUGUUCGGAAUUACUGGGCGUAAAGCGUGCGCAGGCGGCUUCUCAAGUCAGGGGUGAAAGCCCAGAGCUCAACUCUGGAAUUGCCUUUGAGACUGAGUGGCUUGAGUACGGGAGAGGUGAGUGGAAUUCCCAGUGUAGAGGUGAAAUUCGUAGAUAUUGGGAAGAACACCGGUGGCGAAGGCGGCUCACUGGCCCGUAACUGACGCUGAGGUGCGAAAGCGUGGGGAGCAAACAGG
This 253-nucleotide ribosomal RNA is filed under the name uncultured bacterium. Its description in RNAcentral is "partial 16S ribosomal RNA". It matches the Rfam family "Bacterial small subunit ribosomal RNA", at positions 524 to 776 of the family's 1533-position model. The record is from RNAcentral.